This 51-nucleotide transfer RNA is filed under the name Notiomastodon platensis. Its description in RNAcentral is "partial tRNA-Leu". The record is from RNAcentral. Lineage: Eukaryota; Metazoa; Chordata; Mammalia; Proboscidea; Gomphotheriidae.
UANCCAUUGGUUUUAGGNACCAAAAAACUGGUGCAACUCCAGAUAAAAGUA